RNAcentral lists this ribosomal RNA (210 nucleotides) under Escherichia coli. Its description in RNAcentral is "partial 16S ribosomal RNA". It matches the Rfam family "Bacterial small subunit ribosomal RNA", at positions 1 to 218 of the family's 1533-position model. The record is from RNAcentral. Lineage: Bacteria; Pseudomonadati; Pseudomonadota; Gammaproteobacteria; Enterobacterales; Enterobacteriaceae.
AAAUUGAAGAGUUUGAUCAUGGCUCAGAUUGAACGCUGGCGGCAGGCCUAACACAUGCAAGUCGAACGGUAACAGGAAGAAGCUUGCUUCUUUGCUGACGAGUGGCGGACGGGUGAGUAAUGUCUGGGAAGCUGCCUGAUGGAGGGGGAUAACUACUGGAAACGGUAGCUAAUACCGCAUAAUGUCGCAAGACCAAAGAGGGGGACCUUC